RNAcentral lists this ribosomal RNA (1514 nucleotides) under uncultured Bordetella sp. Its description in RNAcentral is "partial 16S-23S ribosomal RNA intergenic spacer". It matches the Rfam family "Bacterial small subunit ribosomal RNA". Lineage: Bacteria; Pseudomonadati; Pseudomonadota; Betaproteobacteria; Burkholderiales; Alcaligenaceae. The record is from RNAcentral.
UUUGAUUCUGGCUCAGAUUGAACGCUGGCCCGGGAUGCUUUACACAUGCAAGUCGGGCGGCGGCGGACUUCGGUCUGGUGGCGAGUGGCGAACAGGUGAGUAAUGUAUCGGAACGUGCCUAGUAGCGGGGAGUUAGCUACGCGAAAGCGUAGCUAAUACCACAUACGCCCUUCGAGGAAAAGCGGGGGACCUUCGGGCCUCGCACGCUAUUAGAGCGGCCGAUAUCGGAUUAGCUAGUUGGUGGGGUAACGGCUCACCAAGGCGACGAUCCGUAGCUGGUUUGAAGGACGACCAGCCACACUGGGACUGAGACACGGCCCAGACUCCUGCAGGAGGCAGCAGUGGGGGUACGGACAAUGGGGGAAACCUGAUCCAGCCAUCCCGCGUGUGCGAUGAAGGCCUUCCGGGUUGUAAAGCACUUUUGGCAGGAAAAGAAACGGCACGGGAUAAUACCCCGUGCAACUGACGGUACCUGCAGAAUAAGCACCGGCUAACUACGUGCCAGCAGCCGCGGUAUGCAUUAAGUGCAAGAAGCGUUAAUCGGAAUUACUGGGCGUAAAGCGUGCGCAGGCGGUUCGGAAAGAAAGAUGUGAAAUCCCAGGCUUAACUUUGGGGCAUUUUUAACUACCGAGCUAAGAGUGUGUCAGAGGGAGGUGGAAUUCCGCGUGUAGCAGUGAAAUGCGUAGAUAUGCGGAGGAACACCGAUGGCGAAGGCAGCCUCCUGGGAUGCUGACGCUCAUGCACGAAAGCGUGGGAGCAAACAGGAUUAGAUACCCUGGUAGUCCACGCCCUAAACGAUGUCAACUUAGCUGUUGGGGCCUUCGGGCCUUGGUAGCGCAGCUAACGUGGUUGACCGCCUGGAGUACGGUCGCAAGAUUAAGGAGGAAAAGAAAAGAAAAGAGAAAAAGAAAAGAAAAAAAGAAAAAGAAAAGAAAAAGCCGAGGAAUUGACGGGGACCACACAAGCGGUGGAUGAUGUGGAUUAAUUCGAUGCAACGCGAAAAACCUUACCUACCCUUGACAUGUCUGGAAUCCCGAAGAGAUUUGGGAGUGCUCGCAAGAGAACCGGAACACAGGUGCUGCAUGGCUGUCGUCAGCUCGUGUCGUGAGAUGUUGGGUUAAGUCCCGCAACGAGCGCAACCCUUGUCAUUAGUUGCUACGAAGGGCACUCUAAUGAGACUGCUGACGUGACAAACCGGAGGAAGGUGGGGAUGACGUCGAUCCUCUGUGGCCCUUAUGGGUAGGGCUUCACGUCAUACAAUGGUCGGGACAGAGGGUCGCCAACCCGCGAGGGCAAUCAGAAACCCGAUCGUAGUCCGGAUCUAUUGAUGCAACUCGACUGCGUGAAGUCGGAAAUCGCUAGUAAUCGCGGAUCAGCAUGUCGCGGUGAAUACGUUCCCGGGUCUUGUACACACCGUCACACCAUGGGAGUGGGUUUUAGUAAGUUAGCCUAACCGUAAGGAGGGCGAUUACCACGGUAGGAUUCAUGACUGGGGUGAAGUCGUAACAAGGUAA